ACGUCUACAUUAGAUACCCGCGUAGUCCCAGCCGUAAACUAUGCGCGUUAGGUGUAUCGGUGACCACGAGUUACCGAGGUGCCGAAGGGAAACCGUGAAACGUGCCGCCUGGGAAGUACGGUCGCAAGGCUGAAACUUAAAGGAAUUGGCGGGGAGCACCACAACAGGUGGAGCCUGCGGUUUAAUUGGACUCAACGCCGGGAAGCUCACCGGAUAGGACAGCAGAAUGAUUGCCGGGCUGAAGACCCUGCAUGACUAGCUG
This 262-nucleotide ribosomal RNA is filed under the name uncultured archaeon. RNAcentral describes it as "partial 16S ribosomal RNA". It matches the Rfam family "Archaeal small subunit ribosomal RNA", at positions 719 to 982 of the family's 1478-position model. The record is from RNAcentral.